RNAcentral lists this ribosomal RNA (484 nucleotides) under uncultured bacterium. Its description in RNAcentral is "partial 16S ribosomal RNA". It matches the Rfam family "Bacterial small subunit ribosomal RNA", at positions 29 to 507 of the family's 1533-position model. The record is from RNAcentral.
AUUGAACGCUGGCGGCAUGCUUUACACAUGCAAGUCGAACGGCAGCGCGGGCUUCGGCCUGGCGGCGAGUGGCGAACGGGUGAGUAAUACAUCGGAACGUGCCCAGUAGCGGGGGAUAGCUCGGCGAAAGCCGGAUUAAUACCGCAUACGACCUGAGGGCGAAAGCGGGGGAUCUUCGGACCUCGCGCUAUUGCAGCGGCCGAUGGCAGAUUAGCUAGUUGGGGGGGUAAAGGCCUACCAAGGCGACGAUCUGUAGCUGGUCUGAGAGGACGACCAGCCACACUGGGACUGAGACACGGCCCAGACUCCUACGGGAGGCAGCAGUGGGGAAUUUUGGACAAUGGGCGAAAGCCUGAUCCAGCAAUGCCGCGUGGGUGAUGAAGGCCUUCGGGUUGUAAAGCACUUUUGGCGGGAACGAAAAGGACUGUGCCAAUACCACGGUUCGAUGACGGUACCCGCAGAAUAAGCACCGGCUAACUACGUG